Non-coding RNA from Camellia sinensis, 298 nucleotides. The record is from RefSeq and is a predicted model, not a curated record. NCBI's taxonomy places the organism in Eukaryota, Viridiplantae, Streptophyta, Magnoliopsida, Ericales, Theaceae.
AUAUGGUUGGGAUUGUUUGUCUUAUUUUUGGUUGAAUUUGGAUUGAAGGCUUACCGAGCAUGAUAGCAAUAGGGACUUCAACAUGCAAUGGUUUCAUGACAAAAGGAAAUUUGCCCGAAAGGUUGAAGACUUUGGAGUGAAUCUUGUUUUAUCCUCUUAUGAUGAUAAAGAAGCCUUGAGAAGCAUGUACAAGCAAGAGUUCAUUUUCUGUGUGCAAGUGAAGGAGAGGUUGCGUAGUUCAGAUGAUUACCAGGCAUUCUUGAAGUGUCUUCAUAUUUACAGCACAGAGAUAAUCACA